GACGAACGCUGGCGGCGUGCUUAACACAUGCAAGUCGAACGGAAAGGCCCUGCUUUUGUGGGGUUCUCGAGUGGCGAACGGGUGAGUAACACGUGAGUAUCCUGCCCUUGACUUUGGGAUAACUUCAGGAAACUGGGGCUAAUACCGGAUAGGAGCUCCUGCUCCACGGUGGGGGUUGGAAAGUUUCGGCGGUUGGGGAUGGACUCGCGGCUUAUCCGCUUGUUGGUGGGGUAGUGGCUUACCAAGGUUUUGACGGGUAGCCGGCCUGAGAGGGUGACCGGCCACAUUGGGACUGAGAUACGGACCAGACUCGUACGGGAGGCAGCAGGGGGGAAUAUUGCACAAUGGGCGGGAGCGUGAUGCAGCGACGCCGCGUGCGGGAUGACGGCCUUCGGGUCGUAAACCGCUUUCGCAUGUGACGAAGCGUGAGUGACGGUAAUGGGUAAAGAAGCACCGGCUAACUACGUG
RNAcentral lists this ribosomal RNA (468 nucleotides) under uncultured bacterium. RNAcentral's name for it is "partial 16S ribosomal RNA". It matches the Rfam family "Bacterial small subunit ribosomal RNA", at positions 28 to 507 of the family's 1533-position model. The record is from RNAcentral.